RNAcentral lists this long non-coding RNA (1358 nucleotides) under Homo sapiens (human). RNAcentral describes it as "HSALNT0001428". The record is from RNAcentral. Lineage: Eukaryota; Metazoa; Chordata; Mammalia; Primates; Hominidae.
GACCCUGACGUCAGACCCCCUCCUCCCACCACCCCCUCUGCCUCUUCCUCAUCUCUCUCAAGAUCCAUCUCCAAGAGGGUCCUAGUGAGGGACCAACCCAAGGUGAGGACCCAACCACAGUGUCUGAGCCAGUGUCUACAGGACACACGACGCGUCCAUCACUGGAGCUUUAACUAGAGGAUCAGGGCCACACGGGUGGCUCCCCAGCCUUCCUCUCCCACUCUCCCUGUAUCUGCCCUCACCCCUAAAUACACACACGGACCACAGGACCAUUCUGCUUUUUCCUCCUGCUUUCCAGUCCCUGUCCUUGGCCCUUCAAGCGUUUUUUCCUCAACCGGCAAUCGCUCGUCUGGAGAGAAGGAGAAGCUGCAAGGUCAGUGCAGGAGAGAGGCAGCAAGAAAUCUGAAGCCCAGAGAACAGCCUGGAGAAGGAGGAGCCGCCAGCUGGCAGGCUGCGCUUCAGAGCUGCUGAUCGGAUCCUGGUAGCCAGGGCUCUGGACGUGCCUGGUACAAAGGGAGGAGCUAAGCCUCCAGAGUCCUGGCAUGGGCAGGUGGGGGAGCCCCAAGGGCCAGCACCUCUGCCCCCACCCCAGAAGACUGCAGACAGCUGUGACGGAUGGCCACCUGGCCUGAACUGACUCCUGGCCCUCUCUUUAAUCCUGUUCUGACUCUGAGGACAUUCUGAUGCAGAAGGAAGAGGACCUGAAGUGCUGACAGCUGGUCCAAGAGCACACUUUGAGUAGUGAGACUCCGGAAUACUGAGCAGCGAGCACCAGAGCAGCAGUUCUCAUCAAAGGAGGGCAUCAGAACAAACACGCGGUCCUCGCCUCCUGCUCCCUUUCUCAAGACAGAGACAUUCUGAUCCAGUAGGUGUAGGGUGGGUCCUAACACAGGUGUUUCGAAACAGUCUCAAAUGGUUUCAUGCGCCCAUCCCCUUGUAAAAACUGGUUGUUCCUGAAUCCAAUAAUAAUACCUAUGUUAACCAAGUAGUCGGCGUGUGCCAGAUGACUUAAACGCACCUUUCCAAUCAUUCCUCACAACAGUCUUGUGGAGGAGGUUCUGUGAGGAGUCUCAUUCUACAGACGAGGAAACUGGGAGGUGAAGGAAACUGUCAAGCCACAAAGCCUGGACCCUCAGUCACGAUGCUAAACAGCUUCCUUUGUCAAGCAGAAGAAGGAAGCAUUGGGGUCCAAGGACCUGGGCUCAAGACCACUGCCUAACUUCGUGAUCUAAUUAAGUCAGCUAAUUAGGCCAGGCACAGUGGCUCAUGCCUAUAAUCCCGGCACUCUGGGAGGCCAAGGCAGGAGGAUCACUUGAGCCCAGGACUUCCAGACCAGCCUGGGCAACACAGCGAGACCC